UACGUAGGUGACAAGCGUUGUCCGGAUUUACUGGGCGUAAAGAGCGCGCAGGCGGUCGUUCAAGUCGAGUGUGAAAGACCCCGGCUCAACUGGGGAGGGUCGUGCGAAACGGGUGAACUAGAGGCCAGUAGGGGGAUGCGGAAUUCCGGGUGUAGUGGUGGAAUGCGUAGAGAUCCGGAGGAACACCAGCGGCGAAGGCGGCAUCCUGGACUGGUCCUGACACUCAGGAGCGAAAGCGUGGGGAGCGAUCCGG
This 253-nucleotide ribosomal RNA is filed under the name uncultured bacterium. RNAcentral's name for it is "partial 16S ribosomal RNA". It matches the Rfam family "Bacterial small subunit ribosomal RNA", at positions 524 to 776 of the family's 1533-position model. The record is from RNAcentral.